This 392-nucleotide unclassified non-coding RNA is filed under the name soil metagenome. RNAcentral's name for it is "partial contains 5.8S ribosomal RNA, internal transcribed spacer 2, and large subunit ribosomal RNA". The stretch from base 1 to 122 matches the Rfam family "5.8S ribosomal RNA", at positions 35 to 154 of the family's 154-position model. The record is from RNAcentral.
GAUGAAGAACGUAGCGAAAUGCGAUACUUGGUGUGAAUUGCAGAAUCCCGUGAACCAUCGAGUCUUUGAACGCAAGUUGCGCCCGAAGCCAUUAGGCCGAGGGCACGCCUGCCUGGGCGUCACACGUCGUUGCCCCCCCAUCUACUCCUUCGGGAUUGCGGGGGGCGGAUGAUGGCCUCCCGUGCGCCUCGUCGCGCGGUUGGCAUAAAUGCCAAGUCCUCGGCGACACACGCCACGACAAUCGGUGGUUGCGAAACCUCGGUUGCCCGUCGUGUGCGGUCGUCGCGCAUCGAGGGCUCGAAAAAAUUGCCGGGCUCCGGCUCGGCUUUCAACGCGACCCCAGGUCAGGCGGGGUUACCCGCUGAAUUUAAGCAUAUCAAAUAAGCGGAGGA